GACGAACGCUGGCGGCGUGCUUAACACAUGCAAGUCGAACGAAGAGCGAUGGAAGCUUGCUUCUAUCAAUCUUAGUGGCGAACGGGUGAGUAACGCGUAAUCAACCUGCCCUUCAGAGGGGGACAACAGUUGGAAACGACUGCUAAUACCGCAUACGAUCUAAUCUCGGCAUCGAGGAUAGAUGAAAGGUGGCCUCUACAUGUAAGCUAUCACUGAAGGAGGGGAUUGCGUCUGAUUAGCUAGUUGGAGGGGUAACGGCCCACCAAGGCGAUGAUCAGUAGCCGGUCUGCGAGGAUGAACGGCCACAUUGGGACUGGGACACGGCCCAGACUCCUACGGGAGGCAGCAGUGGGGAAUCUUCCGCAAUGGACGAAAGUCUGACGGAGCAACGCCGCGGGAGUGAUGACGGCCUUCGGGUUGUAAAGCUCUGUUAAUCGGGACGAAAGGCCUUCUUGCGAAUAGUGAGAAGGAUUGACGGUACCGGAAUAGAAAGCCACGGCUAACUACGUG
RNAcentral lists this ribosomal RNA (510 nucleotides) under uncultured bacterium. Its description in RNAcentral is "partial 16S ribosomal RNA". It matches the Rfam family "Bacterial small subunit ribosomal RNA", at positions 28 to 507 of the family's 1533-position model. The record is from RNAcentral.